This 465-nucleotide ribosomal RNA is filed under the name uncultured bacterium. Its description in RNAcentral is "partial 16S ribosomal RNA". It matches the Rfam family "Bacterial small subunit ribosomal RNA", at positions 338 to 795 of the family's 1533-position model. The record is from RNAcentral.
CCUACGGGAGGCAGCAGUAGGGAAUCUUCCACAAUGGGCGAAAGCCUGAUGGAGCAACGCCGCGUGGGUGAUGAAGGUCUUCGGAUCGUAAAACUCUGUUGUUAGAGAAGAAAAUUCGUGAGAGUAACUGUUCACGUUUUGACGUUAUCUAACCAGAAAGCCAAGGCUAAUUACGUGCCAGCAGCCUCGGGAAUACGUAGGUGGCAAGCGUUAUCCGGAUUUAUUGGGCGUAAAGGGAACGCAGGUGGUUUUUUAGGUCUGAUGGGAACGCCUUCGGCUUAACCGGAGUAGUGCCUAGGAUAAUGGGAGACUUGAGUGCAGAUGAGGUGGGUGGAAUGCCUUGUGUAGCGGUGAAAUGCGUAGAUAUAAGGAAGAACACCAAUGGCGAAGGCAGCUCUCUGAUCUGCAACUGACGCUGAGGUUCGAAAGCGUGGGUAGCAAACAGGAUUAGAUACCCGGGUAGUC